CCUACGGGGGGUAGCAGUGAGGAAUAUUGGUCAAUGGUCGGGAGACUGAACCAGCCAAGCCGCGUGAGGGAGGAAGGUCCAGAGUAUCGUAAACCUCUUUUGUCAGGGAACAAAGGCGGGGACGUGUCCCCGGAUGAGUGUACCUUACGAACAAGCAUCGGCUAACUCCGUGCCAGCAGCCGCGGUAAUACGGAGGAGGCGAGCGUAAUCCGGAUUGAUUGGGUUAAAAGGGUGCGCGGGCGGUCUGUUAAGUCAGCGGUCAAAGCCCGGGGCCAAACCCCGGCCCGCCGUUGAAACUGGCAGGCUCGAGUUGGAGAGAGGUAUGCGGAAUGCGCGGUGUAGCGGUGAAAUGCAUAGAUAUCGCGCAGAACUCCGAUUGCGAAGGCAGCAUGCCGGAUCAAGACUGACGCUGAGGCACGAAAGCGUGGGUAUCGAACAGGAUUAGAUACCCGGGUAGUC
RNAcentral lists this ribosomal RNA (459 nucleotides) under uncultured bacterium. RNAcentral describes it as "partial 16S ribosomal RNA". It matches the Rfam family "Bacterial small subunit ribosomal RNA", at positions 338 to 795 of the family's 1533-position model. The record is from RNAcentral.